UACGAAUGGGGCAAGCGUUGUUCGGAAUAACUGGGCUUAAAGCGUGCGCAGGCGGUCUUGAAAGUCAGAAGUGAAAGCCUGGGGCUUAACCCCAGAAUUGCUUUUGAAACUCCAAGACUAGAAUCCCGGAGAGGUUAGCAGAAUUCCGAGUGUAGAGGUGAAAUUCGCAGAUAUUCGGAGGAAUACCAAUGGCGAAGGCAGCUAACUGGACGGGCAUUGACGCUCAGGCACGAAAGCGUGGGUAGCAAACAGG
RNAcentral lists this ribosomal RNA (253 nucleotides) under uncultured bacterium. RNAcentral describes it as "partial 16S ribosomal RNA". It matches the Rfam family "Bacterial small subunit ribosomal RNA", at positions 524 to 776 of the family's 1533-position model. The record is from RNAcentral.